AUUGAACGCUGGCGGCAUGCUUUAUACAUGCAAGUCGAACGGUAACAGGCCGCACGGUGCUGACGAGUGGUGAAGGGGUGAGUAAUGCAACGGAACGUGUCCAGUCCUUGUAGAUAACUACUCGAUAGAGUAGAUAAUACCUCAUACGAGAUAUGAUAGAAAGCGGGGGACUGUAAGGCUUCGCGCGAUUGGUGCGGUCGCUGCCAGAUUAGCCAGCUGGUGGGGUAAAGGCUCACCAAGCCAACGAUCUGUAACUGUGCUGAGAGGACGACCCGCCACACUGGGACUGAGACACGGCCCAGACUCCUACGGGAGGCAGCAGUGGGGAAUCUUGGGCAAUGGGCGCAAGCCUGAUCCAGCAAUGCCGCGUGCAGGAAGAAGGCCUUCGGAUUGUAAACUGCUGUUGUACGGAACGAAACGACUCUGGUUAAAACCCGGAGGUAAUGACGGUACCGUAUGAAAAAGCACCGGCUAACUACGUG
This 482-nucleotide ribosomal RNA is filed under the name uncultured bacterium. RNAcentral describes it as "partial 16S ribosomal RNA". It matches the Rfam family "Bacterial small subunit ribosomal RNA", at positions 30 to 507 of the family's 1533-position model. The record is from RNAcentral.